Molecule: ribosomal RNA, 492 nt
Filed under: uncultured bacterium
Lineage: Bacteria
Description: partial 16S ribosomal RNA
Rfam family: Bacterial small subunit ribosomal RNA
Source: RNAcentral
AUUGAACGCUGGCGGCAGGCCUAACACAUGCAAGUCGAACGGUAGCACAGUAAGCUUGCUCGGGUGCCGAGUGGCGGACGGGUGCGGAUUGUCUGUGAAACUGCCCGUUGGAUUGGGUUAACUACUGGAUACGGAAGCUAAUACUGCUUACUGUCACAAGCUACAGGAGGAAGCCCUUGGGGUUCCUUCCCUUCGCGAUUGCAUGAGCGCAGUUCGGAUUAGCUAGUUGGUGUGGUAAAGGCUCACCAAGGCGACGAUCCGUAGCUGGUCUGAGAGGAUGACCAGCCACACUGGAACUGAGACACGGUCCAGACUCCUACGGGAGGCAGCAGUGGGGAAUAUUGCACAAAGGGCGCAAGCCUGAUGCAGCCAUGCCGCGUGUAUGAAGAAGGCCUUCGGGUUGUAAAGUACUUUCAGCGGGGAGGAAGGCAAUGCGGUUAAUACCCGGGUGGAUUGACGGUACCCGCAGAAGAAGCACCGGCUAACUCCGUG